Molecule: non-coding RNA, 433 nt
Organism: Pelobates cultripes (western spadefoot toad)
Lineage: Eukaryota; Metazoa; Chordata; Amphibia; Anura; Pelobatidae
Source: the annotation of a GenBank genome assembly
GUACUACGGGCUUCUCAGACAUUAUUGCAUUUCAUGUAUAAACCAACAAACCACUGAAAUUUUCACCUACACACUUACCCCUAUCAGUCAUUCGGUGUACUACAGGCUUCUUAGACGUUUUUGGCUUUUCAUGUACAAAACCAUAAACCACUGCAUUUUCACCUACACACUGACCCUUACCAGUCAUUCAGUGUACUACAGGCUUCUCAGACAUUAUUGCAUUUCAUGUACAAACCAACGAACCACUGCAUUUGCGCCUACACACUGACCCCUUCAGGUCAUUCAGUGUACUACAGGCUUCUCAGACAUUAUUGCAUUUCAUGUACAAACCAACUAACCACGGCAUUUUCGCCUACAUGCUGACCCCUACCGGUCAAUCAGUAUACUACAGGCUUCUCAGAUUUUAUUCCACUUCAUAAGCAAACAAACGAAC